RNAcentral lists this ribosomal RNA (313 nucleotides) under uncultured bacterium. RNAcentral describes it as "bacterial SSU rRNA". It matches the Rfam family "Bacterial small subunit ribosomal RNA", at positions 28 to 334 of the family's 1533-position model. The record is from RNAcentral.
GAUGAACGCUGGCGGCGUGCCUAACACAUGCAAGUCGAACGGGACUUUACUGAAACCUAGUGAUGUAAAGUUUAGUGGCGGACGGGUGAGUAACGCGUGGAUAACCUGCCGUAUACAGGGGGAUAACACUUAGAAAUAGGUGCUAAUACCGCAUAAGCGCACAGCUUCGCAUGAAGCAGUGUGAAAAACUCCGGUGGUAUACGAUGGAUCCGCGUCUGAUUAGCCAGUUGGCGGGGUAAAGGCCCACCAAAGCGACGAUCAGUAGCCGGCCUGAGAGGGUGGACGGCCACAUUGGGACUGAGACACGGCCCAG